Molecule: unclassified non-coding RNA, 824 nt
Filed under: Hevea brasiliensis (rubber tree)
Lineage: Eukaryota; Viridiplantae; Streptophyta; Magnoliopsida; Malpighiales; Euphorbiaceae
Source: RNAcentral
AUUCGGAACAUCAAAUCUGACUCCAUUCUUAUUCAGCCCCCCCAAAAUCCCCUUUUACUAAAUCCCUUUUAAUUCCUCCGGUUUACAGAUUCAUCAAACAUGGAAUUGUUAAAGAUGAAUCACCCUACAACUCAUUCAUUGAUUCAAUUUAACAAACCCAAUUCCGUUUCUGAUUUGAAAUUGAACACUUGUCUCUCCGUUUCUAAGCAGAAUAAGAGAAGGGCGUUUCCUCAUCGUGUUUCGUCUUCUCUGUCUUUAUCAAAUUCAUGCGGCGGAGUUGUGAAAGAGGAUCAGAAAACGGAAGGUGUAUUAUCGGGGAAGAUUGGUGAAUGGAUGAAUGAAUCGGUGGUGGAUAUUGUGAAGAACUUGAAACAAGCGCCGUUGUUGGUUGAGAUUUACAGCGAGGAUGGAAAAGGGGGAGUGAGAAUCAAGACGGAGAGAGCGGUGGAGGAAGACUGGCCGAUUAAGAAAAGUGAAUGGGAGAAGAGAUCACCAGAUGGGCUUAUCUUCGUUGGAGAACUUGGAGGUGAGGAUGAGAAACUUGUAGAGGAAGAAGGAGAAGGGAUAACAAAGGCAUGGGGAGUAGUUGUACAAGGGAAAGGAAUGGAAUGUUCACCAGCUUGUUAUUUGUUGAAAACCAGUAGAGUUGGUGCUGGAAUUGGGAUGGGAUUGUUUUGCACCCAUUUUUGUUUAGCUAAAGUACAGAAUUUUAGGGACACUGCUCUCAUGCAGUUUCAAAAUUCUUGGUUGUUGCAAUGACUAUUCAUCAAAUCAUUAAUUCACCAAAUGUAUAAACAACAUUUUACUCAUAAAGCAUACUACUA